UGGUCUAGUGGUGAAGGCACCAGGCUAGAAACCAGGAGAGGGUGAGUUCUAGUCUCAC
Ophiophagus hannah (king cobra) is the source of this 58-nucleotide transfer RNA. It matches the Rfam family "tRNA", at positions 8 to 63 of the family's 71-position model. Rfam says of the family: Transfer RNA (tRNA) molecules are approximately 80 nucleotides in length. Their secondary structure includes four short double-helical elements and three loops (D, anti-codon, and T loops). Further hydrogen bonds mediate the characteristic L-shaped molecular structure. tRNAs have two regions of fundamental functional importance: the anti-codon, which is responsible for specific mRNA codon recognition, and the 3' end, to which the tRNAs corresponding amino acid is attached (by aminoacyl-tRNA synthetases). tRNAs cope with the degeneracy of the genetic code in two manners: having more than one tRNA (with a specific anti-codon) for a particular amino acid; and 'wobble' base-pairing, i.e. permitting non-standard base-pairing at the 3rd anti-codon position. NCBI's taxonomy places the organism in Eukaryota, Metazoa, Chordata, Lepidosauria, Squamata, Elapidae. The record is from Rfam.